Molecule: ribosomal RNA, 253 nt
Filed under: uncultured bacterium
Lineage: Bacteria
Description: partial 16S ribosomal RNA
Rfam family: Bacterial small subunit ribosomal RNA
Source: RNAcentral
UACGUAGGGUGCAAGCGUUGUCCGGAAUUAUUGGGCGUAAAGAGCUCGUAGGCGGUUUGUCGCGUCUGCUGUGAAAACGCGAGGCUCAACCUCGCGCCUGCAGUGGGUACGGGCAGACUAGAGUGCGGUAGGGGAGAUUGGAAUUCCUGGUGUAGCGGUGGAAUGCGCAGAUAUCAGGAAGAACACCAAUGGCGAAGGCAGCUCUCUGGGACGGUACUGACACUGAGACGCGAAAGCGUGGGGAGCAAACAGG